GUGCUCGCUUCAGCAGCACGUAUACUAAAAUUGGAACAAUACAGAAAAGAUUAGCAUGGCCCCUGUGCAAGGAUGACAUGCAAAUUCAUGAAGCACUUCAUAUUAAA
This is a small nuclear RNA of Homo sapiens (human), 107 nucleotides long. The record is from Ensembl. NCBI's taxonomy places the organism in Eukaryota, Metazoa, Chordata, Mammalia, Primates, Hominidae.